RNAcentral lists this ribosomal RNA (490 nucleotides) under uncultured bacterium. Its description in RNAcentral is "bacterial SSU rRNA". It matches the Rfam family "Bacterial small subunit ribosomal RNA", at positions 28 to 512 of the family's 1533-position model. The record is from RNAcentral.
GAUGAACGCUAGCGACAGGCCUAACACAUGCAAGUCGAGGGGCAGCACAAUGCGUAGCAAUACAAAUGGUGGCGACCGGCGCACGGGUGAGUAACACGUAUGCAACCUACCUAUAAGUGGGGAAUAACCCGGAGAAAUCCGGACUAAUACCGCAUAAUACUUGUUAAUCUGCAUGGAUUACAAGUUAAACAUUUAUGGCUUAUAGAUGGGCAUGCGUAUGAUUAGUUAGUUGGUGAGGUAACGGCUCACCAAGACAUCGAUCAUUAGGGGUUCUGAGAGGAAGGUCCCCCACACUGGUACUGAGACACGGACCAGACUCCUACGGGAGCAGCAGUGAGGAAUAUUGGUCAAUGGGCGAGAGCCUGAACCAGCCAAGUCGCGUGAAGGAAGACGGUUCUAUGGAUUGUAAACUUCUUUUGUAAGGGAAUAAAGUUCACUACGUGUAGUGUUUGUAUGUAUUUACGAAUAAGAUCGCUAACUCCGUGCCAGC